RNAcentral lists this ribosomal RNA (253 nucleotides) under uncultured bacterium. RNAcentral's name for it is "partial 16S ribosomal RNA". It matches the Rfam family "Bacterial small subunit ribosomal RNA", at positions 524 to 776 of the family's 1533-position model. The record is from RNAcentral.
UACGUAGGGGGCAAGCGUUGUCCGGAAUCAUUGGGCGUAAAGAGCGUGUAGGCGGCCCGAUAAGUCCGCUGUGAAAGUCCAGGGCUCAACCCUGGGAUGCCGGUGGAUACUGUCGGGCUCGAGUCCGGAAGAGGAGUGUGGAAUUCCUGGUGUAGCGGUGAAAUGCGCAGAUAUCAGGAGGAACACCAAUGGCGAAGGCAGCACUCUGGGACGUGACUGACGCUGAGGCGCGAAAGCUAGGGGAGCAAACGGG